CGUCUCUGCUCUGGCUCCCGCAUGAUGGUGGCCGCGCUGGGUCCGUGGCUGUUGGCCUUAGCCUUGGCCUUGGCUUCGACAGGGGUGUGGGCGCAACCCAGGCUGGAGGAGACCGGCGGAGGGCUGCGAGCGCCCGGGGACUCCGUGCUCCUCUCCUGCCGCGGAUACGGCGUUAGAUUCGACAGUACCGGAGUUUGGUGGUACCGUCAGGCACCCGGAGGCACACUCGAGUGGGUGUCCUACAUCAGCUUUGAUUCUUCAGUCACUAAAUUUGCGCAGUCCGUGCAGAGUCGAGCUAAUGUCUCCCGGGACAAUUCCCGGUCUGUGUCAUCCCUGUUCCUGCGUGCCCUGCAGCCUCAGGACUCUGCUCGCUACUUCUGCACAGUAUAUUCACACGGAGACAGGAAAAGCAGCUGAGCUUUAACAGAAACAUGCUGAGCCUGCCCAGGGUGCAAAAGCUGUGGGACGGGUGAGUGCUGCAACGUCGAGCGCCAGGAGCAUCCUUUUCCCGCGAC
Non-coding RNA from Pezoporus flaviventris, 515 nucleotides. The record is from the annotation of a RefSeq genome assembly. NCBI's taxonomy places the organism in Eukaryota, Metazoa, Chordata, Aves, Psittaciformes, Psittacidae.